UGCUCACCCUUCAACAUGCCUGGUUU
RNAcentral lists this non-coding RNA (26 nucleotides) under Homo sapiens (human). The record is from RNAcentral. Lineage: Eukaryota; Metazoa; Chordata; Mammalia; Primates; Hominidae.